Molecule: long non-coding RNA, 525 nt
Organism: Acanthopagrus latus (yellowfin seabream)
Lineage: Eukaryota; Metazoa; Chordata; Actinopteri; Spariformes; Sparidae
Exons: 4
Source: RefSeq, a predicted model, not a curated record
AUCACCUCCUGCCAUGUGGCCAGCAGUGCAUCCUGGGACUCAAAGUCAGAGAGCACACUGGAGGACAGCGGGGAGGAAGGCUGGCAGUCGGUUCCAGAGAAACCAUCAUCACACCUACAAGAGGACACAGCAGAGAGUUGACCUGCAGUGUCCGUGGUCACACCAGCCAUGUCCGUGGCACAUGUUCGGGCACUGCUGUCCGAUGUAGAUGUCAUCCAGGGCCCACUCGUCCUGCUCGCCAUAGUAGUUCUGUAUCCACCGGAACCGUGUGGCACUGGACCUGAACAAAGAGGAGACAGAGUGAUGCGUCUCCAGUCUUUGAACUCCGAUGGGUGGUAGACACUGGGAGCUGUAAACUCAGAGCAGCUCGGCAUGCCGGGCAGACAGGCCUAGGAUGACUUCUACAAGUUUUGGUUGUAAACAAAGAGUGAGCCAGGCUGUGCAAACAAAGGGGAUCUGGCGUCAGCGAUCACUUUACAAGGGAAGGAAAGCUGAACAUGUUUCAGGCCUCUUACCUCUUUGACC